This 460-nucleotide ribosomal RNA is filed under the name uncultured bacterium. Its description in RNAcentral is "partial 16S ribosomal RNA". It matches the Rfam family "Bacterial small subunit ribosomal RNA", at positions 338 to 795 of the family's 1533-position model. The record is from RNAcentral.
CCUACGAGUGGCCGCAGUGAGGAAUAUUGGUUAAUGGACGAGAGUCUGAACCAGCCAAGUAGCGUGAAUGAUGACUGCCCUAUGGGUUGUAAACUUCUUUUAUAUGGUAAUAAAAUGUUCCACGUGUGGGAUUUUGUAUGUACCAUAUGAAUAAGGAUCGGCUAACUCCGUGCCCGCAGCCGCGUUAAUACGGAGGAUCCGAGCGUUAUCCGGAUUUAUUGGGUUUAAAGGGAGCGUAGGUGGGGUGUUAAGUCAGUUGUGAAAGUUUGCGGCUCAACCGUAAAAUUGCAGUUGAAACUGGCAGUCUUGAGUACAGUAGAGGUGGGCGGAAUUCGUGGUGUAGCGGUGAAAUGCUUAGAUAUCACGAAGAACUCCGAUUGCGAAGGCAGCUCACUGGACUGCAACUGACACUGAGGCUCGAAAGUGUGGGUAUCAAACAGGAUUAGAUACCCCGGUAGUC